This 245-nucleotide ribosomal RNA is filed under the name uncultured bacterium. RNAcentral's name for it is "partial 16S ribosomal RNA". It matches the Rfam family "Bacterial small subunit ribosomal RNA", at positions 524 to 770 of the family's 1533-position model. The record is from RNAcentral.
UACGAAGGGGGCUAGCGUUGCUCGGAAUCACUGGGCGUAAAGCGCACGUAGGCGGAUUGUUAAGUCAGGGGUGAAAUCCUGGAGCUCAACUCCAGAACUGCCUUGAUACUGGCGAUCUCGAGUCCGGGAGAGGUGAGUGGAACUGCGAGUGUAGAGGUGAAAUUCGUAGAUAUUCGCAAGAACACCAGUGGCGAAGGCGGCUCACUGGCCCGGUACUGACGCUGAGGUGCGAAAGCGUGGGAGCA